This 525-nucleotide ribosomal RNA is filed under the name uncultured Hanseniaspora. RNAcentral describes it as "eukaryotic LSU rRNA". It matches the Rfam family "Eukaryotic large subunit ribosomal RNA", at positions 62 to 586 of the family's 3401-position model. Lineage: Eukaryota; Fungi; Ascomycota; Saccharomycetes; Saccharomycodales; Saccharomycodaceae. The record is from RNAcentral.
AAACCAACUGGGAUUACCUUAGUAACGGCGAGUGAAGCGGUAAAAGCUCAAAUUUGAAAUCUGGUACUUUCAGUGCCCGAGUUGUAAUUUGUAGAAUUUGUCUUUGAUUAGGUCCUUGUCUAUGUUCCUUGGAACAGGACGUCAUAGAGGGUGAGAAUCCCGUUUGGCGAGGAUACCUUUUCUCUGUAAGACUUUUUCGAAGAGUCGAGUUGUUUGGGAAUGCAGCUCAAAGUGGGUGGUAAAUUCCAUCUAAAGCUAAAUAUUGGCGAGAGACCGAUAGCGAACAAGUACAGUGAUGGAAAGAUGAAAAGAACUUUGAAAAGAGAGUGAAAAAGUACGUGAAAUUGUUGAAAGGGAAGGGCAUUUGAUCAGACAUGGUGUUUUUGCAUGCACUCGCCUCUCGUGGGCUUGGGCCUCUCAAAAAUUUCACUGGGCCAACAUCAAUUUUGGCGGCAGGAAAAAUCUUUGGAAUGUAGCUACCUCGGUAGUGUUAUAGCCUUUUGAAAUACUGUCAGCUGGGAUUGA